This 454-nucleotide ribosomal RNA is filed under the name uncultured eukaryote. RNAcentral describes it as "bacterial SSU rRNA". It matches the Rfam family "Eukaryotic small subunit ribosomal RNA", at positions 1214 to 1676 of the family's 1831-position model. The record is from RNAcentral.
CUCACCAGGUCAGGACACGGUAAGGAUUGACGGACUGAAGGCUCUUUCUCGAUUCCGUGGAAAGUGGUGCAUGGCCGUUUUUGGUUGGUGGAUCGAUCCGUCUGGUUAAUUCCGUUAACGAACGAGACCUCGGCACUCCGAAUAGCGCGGCGGACGUCGCGGCCUCCGGGCCGUCUUCCGCACGAGCUUCUUAGAGGGACCGUCCCCCGCCGGGGAAGGAGGUGCGAGGCAACGACAGGUCUGUGAUGCCCUUAGAUGUUCUGGGCCGCACGCGCAUUACACUGACGCGUCCAACGGGUGACUCCCGACCCGAAGGGGCCGGGGAAUCCGCAAGGCGCGUCGUGAUGGGGAUUGAACGUUGCAAUUGUUGUUCACGAACGAGGAAUUCCUAGUAGGCGCGGGUCAUCAACCCCGCGCCGAUUACGUCCCCUGCCCUUUUGUACACACCGCCCGC